RNAcentral lists this long non-coding RNA (5666 nucleotides) under Sus scrofa (pig). RNAcentral's name for it is "lncRNA (ENSSSCG00015014995.1)". The record is from RNAcentral. Lineage: Eukaryota; Metazoa; Chordata; Mammalia; Artiodactyla; Suidae.
UUUUUUUUUUGCUUUUUUUUUUUUAGGGCCGCAUGCGUGGCACAUGGAAGUUCCCAGGCUAGGGGUUGAAUCAGAGCUUUAGCUGCCAGCCCAUACCACAACCAUAACAACACCUGAUCUGAGCGGCAUCUGUGAACUACACCACAACUCAGAGCAAUGCCAUACACUCAACUCACUGAGCAAGGCCACGGAUCAAACCAUAUGCUCAUGGAUACUAGUUGGUUUAAUUACUGCUGAGUCACAAAAAAGAAAAAGAAAAAAACAGAACAUCCAUUUAUUAUCUCAUAGUUCUGUGCAUCAGAAACUCAGGUGAGCUCUGCUUAGUUCCCACAAGGUCAAAAAACAAGGUGUCUUGGUUGGCUAGCUCUUUCCUGAAGGCACUGGAGAGAAUCUGCUCUAAAAUCACACAGGUAGUUGGCUGAAUCCAGUUCCUGCAGCUUCAGCCCAUGAGAUGGUAGGGAAUUAUAAACAAAAUCUUCUUCUGACCCAGAAAAUUCCUACACAAAGGUGAAAGAGAAAGGAAAUAGUUCCAUUACUGAGUACAUGCUAAAUCAGAAUGUGAUGUGCACCACAGGCAACCCACAAAAGAAAUUGCAAAGGCAGAAAGAAAUCUCGUCCUUUUGUAGACCUAGGUAGACAAAACUCUUAAAAGUUCUGACUCCAAUUUUCAGUUUGUUGAGGAAGUUUCUCCACAGCACCAAGCAAUGCUCUAACACCAGUUGGUUGUCCUAAAUUCAACCUAAUUCUCACACUAAUUGCCUAGAGAUAGUAUCAAAUCCUACAGGUUAGAGUCUGGCCCUAUAAGACUGCACCCUUCUCCUGCUUCAGAUGCCAGUCUUAAGUCCAGGUUGUCACCUGUGCUUCUGACCAAAGAAUUAUAGAUCAGAGGUUUCCAUGACCCCCUCCCUUGGCUUCAGACAUGAGUUGAAAGUUUAGGUUGUUACUUGUACUUCUGAAAAACUGGCUAUAUAUUAAAGUUUCCAUUGUCCCCUCCUUGGGCUUGAUUAAUUUCCUAGAGCAGCUGAAAGAUCUCAGGAAACCCGUACACUCACUAGAUUACCAGUUUAUUACAAUGGAUAUUAAAGAAUAUGAAUCAACAGUCAGAUAAAGAGAUAUGUAUGGUGAGGACACAAACAAAGGAUCUUCUGUCUAAACUGGUCCUUUUUGGUUUUUAUGAAGGUUUCAUUAUGUAAGCGUGGUUGAUUAGCUUAUUGUCAAUUGGUAAUUGAUUUAACCUCUAGCCAAACUUCCCACCUUGGAAAUCAGGAGGUGGGAUUGGAAAUUCUAACCCUUUCUAGGUUGGUUUCCCAGACAACCAGCCUCCAUCUUUAAGAGAUUCCCAAAAGUCACUUCAUUAACAUAAACCCAGCUGGGUGGAAAGGGACUUGUUAUGAAUAAUUAAACACCUAUGUUAUCAUUAUGGCUCUGAAGUAUUUUCAAGAACUGGGGAUAAGAAAACAAUUAUUUUUUUUUAAUUUUAUGACCACACCCAUGGCAUAUGGAAGUUUCUGGGCCAGGGAUUGAAUCUGUGCCACAACUGGGACAUAAUCCACAGCUGUGACAACACCAGAUCCUUUAAUCCACUGUGCCAGGGUGGAAAUUGAACCUCCUGUGCCUCCUCCACCACAGAGAACUGAGCUGCUGCAAUUGAAUCCUUUUUUUCUUUAAAAAAAAUUUUUUUUUGCUUUUUUAGGGCCACACUUGUGGCAUAUGGAAGUUCUCUGGCUAGAGGUGGAAUCAGAACUACAGUUGCAAGCAUACACCACAGCCACAGCAAUGCAGGAUCUGAGCUGCAUCUGUGACAUAUACCACAGCUCACAGCAACUCCAGGAUCCUUUAACCCACUGAGUGAGGCCAGGGAUUGAGCACACAUCCUCACAAAAACUAGUUGGGCUUGUUACUGCUGAGCCACAAUGGGUAGUUACUGCAGUUGGAUUCUUAACCCACUCUUCCACACUGGACAUUAAGAGAGACUAAAUUUUAAUAAGAAAAGAUGAUUUCCUUGCUGUCACUGCCAGAAGUUUGUGGGGGCUAUAUGCCAGAAAUUGUGGACAAAGACCACAAUUUGAAAUACAUUUUGGUGAUCUGACUGACCAAAUAUUUAUAUUUCUUACAAAAUUUUCACUAUUAUAUCUGUGUUUUCAAGAUAAAAAUGCUAAUUUUUUCUAUGACUGGUGGUAGGGUUUAAAAUUUGGAUUCAGAUAACAGCUGAAUUUAGCUCUGUGUCCUCCCUCAAUGUGGGGAGAGGGGGCACAAAGGAGAUCAUUCCAUAUCACCACACAAUAUGCCACUUUGGCAUAAGAAUUAUUUUGAGCUAAAGGCAUCUGAGGAUUGGAAAUCCCUUAUGUAUCUAAAGCAGAGCCUCCCCAAAGCAUUCAAGUGUCAUAAAUUGCUUUCCCAGAGCAACCUUAAUCUUCCCUUCUUAGAGAAGUCAACACCACUCCCAGACAGAAUUUGUCACAAACUAUCCAUCACACUUCUGUUCUUCUAAGCGCACAUUUAUCUUUCCAAAAAGUCUUCUGCUUUUCCAUAAGCUCCAUACCUCCCUUCCCUUUUCUCUCCUAAGUUAGGUGUAAGGAUCCCGAAUUCUAACAACACCUCUGAGUGCUCCCUUAUUCAUGUUGUGCAAGUUAAUCAACUUCUGUUUGUUUUCCCCUUGUUAAUCUGUCUCUGGCUAGUUGAAUUUAUAGGGCUCCAGCUGGAAGACAGCCCAAGAUAGGUAAAGAAUUUCCCCCUUCCCUACAGGCACUGUCUUCCUUGCUACAUUUCAAAGAAAUGGCUCCUUGAAGAAUGGCCCUUGAAGCAAACAUCCCUGGUUGUGGGACUGGCCAGAGAGUUAGUUAGCCUUUGACUUUAUAAUGCAAAUCAAUGUCAAGCCUAAAACUGCUCUUUCCAUAAGUAUUGAGAUAAAAGUGGCAUGGUGAAUUUGUUGUGGAAACUGCAAAAACCAUGGCAGCUGAAGCAGAAAAAUGGCACCCAGAGAUAUGGAAAAGCAAGCUUUAUUCAGCACUGGUGUGGGCUCAGAGGAUCACCUCCAGAGUCUGAGCACCAGGUCUUUGUUCUCAGCAACUUUCAUACAUUAUAAGGUCUUGAUUUUCCCUGUAAGCAUCCCAGACCUCCCCCCUUCCCCAAGCAGACAGUGUUCCUCCCUAAGAAACUGAGCAAGUAAGGUUACAGAAGUGGAACUGAUAAGCAAUGCUGGGUACAUGAUUAGCAGGGCUGCUGGCUUGGACAUAGUGCUCACGGUUGCUACAUUAUUACAAGAAGGGUGAUAUGAGGUGAGCAUAGCUGGAAAGGCCUGCAGCUGCCUUUUUAGCCAAGGGGGUGGGGGUUGUUCCUUAGUUAAAACUCUUAUUUCAAACUGACAGCAUCACCUUUUCUUUCCUGCUGAUACACAGAAAGUGGUGCAGGAUAGUGUGUCUUCAAGGGAAGCAGUCUGGAACAAUGAAACUUGAUCUCAUCUCUCUAUUAACCACAUAAUAACUACAGAUGUAUGGAGAGGUCACUGUUCAGCCCUCGGAUGGGCAUGGUCUCCUCAACCUCACCCAGGAGGUGGAAAUGGCAUUUGAAGGGGCACAAAGUUUGCCACCCCAAAAUGUCUCUCUGGCAUGUGGAUGAUGUUGAGUUGGAAGCUAAUUAAGACCCAAAGACUCAGGAAGAAAUAAUGACCUUCCUCAAACUGCUGAAGGAAUUUUGAUUGAGGGGCCAUUACAGGGAGGGAACUAUUACCAUCGAUGACGAUAGUAUGAGGGAGGUGUGGUUGACAGGGGGAAACUAACAAAGUCUGUCUUUUAAAAUUACUCUCUGUGCCCCACUGUUUCUGCAGGACAUAGCAAACAUUUAUUUACCAACCAUUUGCUUUCCUAUCUCCCUGUAAAUUGUCUUCCUCCCCUUUGAAAUUCCCAAACCACUGUCCUGACAUCCUCUUUUUUCUUCAGCUGAAGAUGGUAUUUAAGGUGAGGGUUUCAGCCAUUUCGGUGAGUUACUCAGUUUUCCCGGGUCUCUCCCAUGUAUACGUGUCAUUAAACUUUUGUUGAUUUUCUCCUGUUACUCUUUCUCAUGUCUAUUUAAUUCUUAGAUCAGCCAGAAAAACCUAAGAGGGUGGGGGGAAAUCUCUUCCUCCCCACUGAUGCACAAUUUUAGCCAUCCUAAGAGUUUAUUGAAUGGGUCAUGGAAUAAAGUUCAUAAAUAGAUGCUGUAGUGGGUUGAAUUGUGUCCCUGCCAAAAUGCCUGUCAGUGAAAAAAUUCACCAAUAGUCAAUUAAGAAAGAAAUGGAAAAUUUUAUUUGCACUGGCUUGACAAUUAUUAUGUGGAGGACAGUCUUUCAGAAAACUUGGAGUACUGUUUUGAACAGUAGAAGUCAAAGCAUAAUUAAUUAUAUAGUUUCUGAGGCAAAGGAUUACAUAUGAAAUGACAUAUUGAUAGUUAGUCCAGACCUGCAUGCGGCCACUUGCAAGAUUAAGACAUGCAUGCUAUCUGUGAGAAAUGAAACAUUGCCUGCCAUAUCCGUAAACAAAGGAUGUCACAGUCAUCAGUGAUCGCAGCCAGCUUUGGUGGUGAGCCCUGAGGGAACUCAGGAAGGAAACAAAGAAUAACUACCAUCUAGCAGCCAUCAGACUGCAGCCACUCCUGAUGGUGAGGCCUGAGGAACUCAGGAUGUGAAAACAGGAUACUGGCCCCCAUAGCUGAGGUGCACAUCAAAGAAAUGAUUUCAGUGAGCCCAGACCCUCAGACCUUGCCAUACAUAGAAAUGCACUAAAUUCCUGAAUUUGGGAUGUCUGGCUUCCUUUUAUUAGCAGUAAUCUUAAGCUCCUGUUACCUGUCUUUUGUUAUAAAACACCUAUGUAUCUUAGCUCCCCCUUUGCCUCCUCAGAGCAGUUUUCUCAGGGUUACUUCAGAUAUUUCCUCCCAGGCUUAAUUUCUCAGUUUUGUCCACCAAAUGAAAUGGAAUGCUCAACUUUUAGGUUGUGGAUUUUUUUUUUGGUGGGGGGGGGCAACAAUUCCUAGAGAUGUACUGUGCUGUUGCCAGGAGAAAACUGCUCUCCGGAUCAAGCAGACAUUCCUGUUUCUUCUAAGGAAGUCUCGUUAAUGUAUAAUGCAGAUGCACAAUGCAUACUAAAGGGGAGGAGAUAGUCACCCACAUGACAGAAUUUUACGUUUAAAUUUUUUCCCGUUUUGCCUUAAAAAUCUUUUUGUUUCAUUGUAUGUAAAUAGUACCUUAAUACAAGAGUUGACUGGCCACUCCAGUCACUGACUACCAUAGUGCUCCUGAUUCUAAACUCUGAAAUGGUGGAUGUGGAGAUAGUUUUUAUAAAACUCACCCUGUCUUUGCAUGAAGAUCUUGACUGCACAAAACAUUUUCGGACUCCUAUAGUGUCCUUGUUUUCUAUGUUCAUCAUACGCUGAGGUGGCCCUGCCAUGCAAGAAGGUGUGCUUGUCCUUCAGCCCUUGUGUUGCAACUCCACACCCCCUGUUGUGGGCUGAAGGGGGACCCCAAAAACAAGUGUUCAACUCCUAAUCUCUGCAACUGUGAAUGGAAACUUCUUUGCAAAUAGUGUUUUGCUGAUUAAGGUAUGGAUCUUGAGGGUAGAUCAUCCUGGGUUAAGGUGGCCCUGAAUCCGGUGUCCCUGUAAGAGAAAGGAGAGGGAGGUUUGAGACACAGUGUC